RNAcentral lists this transfer RNA (60 nucleotides) under Metacrangonyx goulmimensis. RNAcentral's name for it is "transfer RNA Aspartic acid". Lineage: Eukaryota; Metazoa; Arthropoda; Malacostraca; Amphipoda; Metacrangonyctidae. The record is from RNAcentral.
GAAAAAUUAGUUAAUUAAUAAUAUUAAUUUGUCAAAUUAAAGUAACUUACGUAUUUUUCU